Xyrichtys novacula (pearly razorfish) is the source of this 1016-nucleotide non-coding RNA. Lineage: Eukaryota; Metazoa; Chordata; Actinopteri; Labriformes; Labridae. The record is from the annotation of a GenBank genome assembly.
GUAACUUCAUGUGACUGUGCUGAGUGUUGUUUCUACCACCAGGUAACUUCACCAUGAAGUCACGUCUGACAUCAUUAUGCACUGUAAUUCAAAACAGCUGGGACAAAUGUUCAACUAAACAGCUUUUGAUAUCUUAUGAGGGAGUCCCCUCCUUCUCUGACCUCAUUUCCAUCUGAUUUCUCACUCCCACACCCCACCUUGUCAGCUGUGCCCUCACCAACACUUCCCACUCCCCGUCCAUCAUCAUCUGUCAGCUCAGUACACCAGUUUGUCCACAAGCCAGCCAGAAUCCCUCCCUCUUUCUCUCUUGUCUUUUUCACUGCUAUUUCACUGACUCUGUUUAACCCUGUCCUCUCUUUGCUUUUCUUAUUCACUACUUGAACUCCUCUUCAUCCUAUUUUCAUUUCCCCUCUCUCGUCUCUUGUUUUCAUCCUGCCAGUCUGACGACUAAUUCACACCUCCCUCUGCCUCCUGUUCAGUCCUAGCAGAUUCUUAUUUCUGGGUUGUGACCCACUUAUCAGCAGCUGACAUGUUUUGCUCUGUUCCAGUUUAUGAGGCUUCUUCUGCUCUGUGAAGUUGAACUGUCUAACUUGACUCAAAGAGCUCGGGAUGUGAUGUGAUUAUCAACGAUAGCGUGAAUAUUUUAAAAAACAUAAUACAAAUUCCCAAACCAGUAAAGUCAGGACCUUGAAAAGCUCAGUCGUUCACAAGGAAGGAUGGGGCCACGUUCACCACUUUGUCAGCAACUGCCUGAACAAAUAUUUCAACAGUUUAAGAACAACGUUUCUCAAUGUGUAACUAAGGGGUUUUGUUUUUGGGGUCAUUCCUAUAGAAGAUAUUAUUGUGUGGGCUCAGGAGGACUUCGGAAAACCAUUGUUAGUUUACACAGUUCAUCUCUACAACUACAAGUUCAAUCUCUACCGUGUAAAGACAAAGACAGAUAUCAACAGCAGCCAGAAACACCGCCGGCUUCUUUGGACCCGAGCUCAGCUGAGAUAGACUGACCCAAAGUGGAA